ACUGACUGACAGCUGAUUACAGCUUUUAUUGUGAUGUUUCUGUGGCUUCGUUUUGUCCAUUAUGAUGGUGGGCAAAAUAAAGCGCAGUAGUUGGAGUAAUUUGCGGCCAGCAGGAAUUCAGUGGGUACUUGUUGCGAGCCGUACGGCGGCGGCAGCGUCCUGUCAAAUAGUAAUGCGCAUAGCCUUCAGUCGUCAGACAGGGGAGUAACCAGACUAAGCAGGCAGGGAAACAACUCCGAUCUAACCUUCUCAUUUAUUAUCUGUGUUGAUUUUAAUGUUCGUUAAACGUGCGUUUCCUUUCCUCAGACAGUCAAGUUUAGGAUCCCGAUAUAUGUAUAUAUAUUUAUUUUUUUCUUGGUCACAUGGCUUGGGAGAAUUCAAUAACAACAAAAAAUGGCGACAAUCACGUUGCUCUGUGGGGUCUUGCUGCGUCAUUAAAAAUAUUCAUGUCAAUACGGGAAGCGGAGCGCGGAAAUUGCAGAAGUUGCGUGAACGGCCUCGCCUGACACGGGCAUUUUGGAGCAGUGCCCUGUUCGGUGGGGUUAAUCGAGUUGUUUACAUGAAGUGCGGAGGGGCGGACGGAAGAAGACGACGACAACGCGGAGGAGGAGCUGUUACGUCUGCCCGCAACGCCAGCGGUCUGCCGGAGACGCUCCUUGAUACGGGAGGGGGCGGAGCCAGACGCCAGAAUCAUAACAAGUCUGACGUCACUCCGCCGUGUGGCUGCUAAGAAUAAUAUAGUCAUUUGCAAAUAGGGUGGAAAUCCUCACACGUCCACAGUCUUCAGUAUUAGAAGUUCUUCUUUAUUACAGAGAAUUAAGCGUAUUGUUUAUUUUUCAACAACUUUGUCUAAAGUUUGUUCCCUCAUUGUUGUCCAAUACAGUUUAAAUUAUGUUGUUGGCUAAAGCUAUUUUUUGCAUGCAUAGAAUAUCCUUUAUUCAUUUUGUGAAUUAGCUCCAUUCUUAAAAAAUAUGAUUUUUAAUUAACCCAAAUUAGUAUAUUUCCCCUUUUUAGUUUUUUUUCCUUAAGCUUACAUGUGUUUAAUAGGGUUCAAAUCUUACAGUUUUUAAGUUUAUUAGGGAAGGAGGAGUUCAGCAACGUAUAUUAAGCAUGUUUGCAUUAUGUGAAAGAACUACUUAGAAAUUCAGAAGAUGAGUUAAAUUCUGGUUGAGGAAGUACUUUGGAGUCACGAAAAGUGCAAAGUGCAAAGGGGAAAACAUGGUUGACAUCACGCAACAGGCAAAGUGGAUGAUUCAUGGAGGAAAUUCCUGGACUGCUAGAUUUGACAGGCUGCCCUGGUUCAGUUAUCACAGUGCUGAUGCUGUCCCCAUAGAAGGUACAGUACUGUGAUAACUGAAGGAUGGCUGCCAACUUGACACAUACACAGGGGUGAGAAGACCAAGCAACAGCUGUAAGUAUGAAAGCAAAACGUUUGUCACUGAUGUGUCUGGAUAAUAAAUGGGUUACGUGAUGUAAAAAGUGCAUGAGUUUUUAUUUUCAAAGGUAUUUAAAAAAAAUAUGAUCAAAUAACAGAAACUAAUAAUCUCUAACCUUGGUUUUACUCUGUAGGUUAUAUUAAUUUAGACCUAUUUAAGCAUCUAAAUGUAUUUCUGAGAAACAAGAAGAACAUAGAAACUCCACACAGAAAAGACCCACGGGGACUUUUUGCUCAACGGGGAUAACUCAUAAAACACAUGUAAGCAUUAGAAAUAAAAGUUUAAAGUUUUAUACAACAAGCCAAAGAGUACAGCACAAAAGCCAAGACUAAAGUUGAAUAACAGCUUGGGUUAGCUCUCCUUUCAUCGCCAACUUGAACUUAAAAAAAUAAGUUUUAUGUGGACUUUUUAUAGUAGUAAAAAA
This is a long non-coding RNA of Oryzias sinensis (Chinese medaka), 1860 nucleotides long. Lineage: Eukaryota; Metazoa; Chordata; Actinopteri; Beloniformes; Adrianichthyidae. The record is from Ensembl.